ACGGGUGAGUAACGCGUGGAUAACCUGCCUUAUACAGGGGGAUAACGGAGAGAAAUUUCCGCUAAGACCGCAUAAGACCACAGCACCGCAUGGUGCAGGGGUAAAAUAUUUAUAGGUAUAAGAUGGAUCCGCGUCCGAUUAGCUAGUUGGUGAGGUGAAGGCCCACCAAGGCGACGAUCGGUAGCCGGCCUGAGAGGGUGAACGGCCACAUUGGGACUGAGACACGGCCCAAACUCCUACGGGAGGCAGCAGUGGGGAAUAUUGGACAAUGGGGGAAACCCUGAUCCAGCGACGCCGCGUGAGUGAAGAAGUAUUUCGGUAUGUAAAGCUCUAUCAGCAGGGAAGAAAAUGACGGUACCUGACUAAGAAGCCCCGGCUAACUACGUGCCAGCAGCCGCGGUAAUACGUAGGGGGCAAGCGUUAUCCGGAUUUACUGGGUGUAAAGGGAGCGCAGACGGCAAUGCAAGUCUGGAGUGAAAGGCGUGGGCUCAACCCAUGAACUGCUUUGGAAACUGUAUAGCUUGAGUGUCGGAGGGGUAAGCGGAAUUCCUAGUGUAGCGGUGAAAUGCGUAGAUAUUAGGAGGAACACCGGAGGCGAAGGCGGCUUACUGGACGACAACUGACGUUGAGGCUCGAAGGCGUGGGGAGCAAACAGGAUUAGAUACCCUGAUAGUCCACGCAGUAAAC
This 687-nucleotide ribosomal RNA is filed under the name uncultured bacterium. RNAcentral's name for it is "bacterial SSU rRNA". It matches the Rfam family "Bacterial small subunit ribosomal RNA", at positions 102 to 807 of the family's 1533-position model. The record is from RNAcentral.